GAAAGCAGGGGAUCGCAAGACCUCGCGCUCAUGGAGCGGCCGAUGUCGGAUUAGCUAGUUGGCGGGGUAACGGCCCACCAAGGCGACGAUCCGUAGCUGGUCUGAGAGGAUGAUCAGCCACACUGGGACUGAGACACGGCCCAGACUCCUACGGGAGGCAGCAGUGGGGAAUUUUGGACAAUGGGGGCAACCCUGAUCCAGCCAUGCCGCGUGAGUGAAGAAGGCCUUCGGGUUGUAAAGCUCUUUCGGCCGGAACGAAAUCGGGCGCGUGAAUAACGCGCCUGGAUGACGGUACUGGAAGAAGAAGCACCGGCUAACUACGUGCCAGCAGCCGCGGUAAUACGUAGGGUGCGAGCGUUAAUCGGAAUUACUGGGCGUAAAGCGUGCGUAGGCGGUUUCGCAAGUCAGAUGUGAAAUCCCCGGGCUUAACCUGGGAACUGCGUUUGAAACUACAAAGC
This 458-nucleotide ribosomal RNA is filed under the name uncultured beta proteobacterium. RNAcentral describes it as "bacterial SSU rRNA". It matches the Rfam family "Bacterial small subunit ribosomal RNA", at positions 202 to 641 of the family's 1533-position model. Lineage: Bacteria; Pseudomonadati; Pseudomonadota; Betaproteobacteria. The record is from RNAcentral.